GUAGGUGGCAAGCGUUGUCCGGGAAUUAUUGGGGCGUAAAGCGCGCGCAGGCGGUUCUUUAAGUCUGAUGUGAAAGCCCACGGGCUCAACCGUGGAGGGUCAUUGGAAACUGGAGAACUUGAGUACAGAAGAGGAAAGCGGAAUUCCACGUGUAGCGGUGAAAUGCGUAGAGAUGUGGAGGAACACCAGUGGCGAAGGCGGCUUUCUGGUCUGUAACUGACGCUGAGGCGCGAAAGCGUGGGGAGCAAACAGGAUUAGAUACCUUGGUAGUCCACGCCGUAAACGAUGAGUGCUAAGUGUUAGGGGGUUUCCGCCCCUUAGUGCUGCAGCUAACGCAUUAAGCACUCCGCCUGGGGAGUACGGCCGCAAAGGCUGA
Molecule: ribosomal RNA, 376 nt
Filed under: uncultured organism
Description: partial 16S ribosomal RNA
Rfam family: Bacterial small subunit ribosomal RNA
Source: RNAcentral